UUGUAUUUAUGGAGGGAGAGGUGUAUGCUGGGUAAUGGCACAGCUAGCGACCGGGUGACCCGCUUCGGAUGUUCAGUCCAUCAGGCGUUAUUAGCAGAAAUCAGUCCCAUAGAUGUGGGCCAUCUCCACCUGCUAGAUUGUUCAGAAGGUUGUUAUCAUCCAUCCAGAUGGAGGAUCACUAACAGGAGCGUGGAAGACUCCAGGAUCCACUCUGGCUGGAAUCCGGUGGAUACAGCAGUGUUACAGAACAGUUCUCCACAGUCACUGUCCACAUGGGUCAGUGGGACCAAGAAGCACUCUGCUAAUGUGGGACUCUGACCAGCAACAUCCAGCAACAUCCAGCAAGACCCAGGCAGCGUUUUCUAUCUCCCAGCUGGAGUUUUUUGUUUGUGACUGGAGAGUCAGAUUUUUGUUGACGCUGGAGGAACAGCCUCACACUUGCAGAGGUUAAUACAUGCUACUGAUCCCUGAUGGGAGAAUCUUCACCUCUGACAGCAAAGAAGCCUGGUGGAUAUUUGUUUGCAGUCUGAUGAUGGGACAUCAUGCUCUGCAUCUUCAAAUCUUUUUGCAGGAUCAGAAAACAAAACCAGGAGGUCCGUAAAUGUUUCUUCUCCAAUUGGAUGAUGAUAAGACUGUGACACGGGAUGCCACCUUUAGUCUUGUGAUGAAGCAAAGCUCAGGAAGAAGUGUGAUUAAAUGGUACCCACAUGUGUGCUGCUGAGAAGGAUGGACAGGGGCACCUGCAGCCAAAUCCAAGCCUCCUCAGCAACUUCAGGUCUGUCAGCGUGCUGAGGUCACAGAAACAAGAAAAGCAGCUUCAGACUUCAGAGUGUUGUUUACAGUUUUCUGUCAUCAUGAUCUCCCCUGAAGUUUAUCACUAUUAUACAAGCAAGCAGAGCGGCAGUUUGUGCUCACAGAUGGUGACGGUGUGGAGAGACGGUGGUGUUUCCUCAGAAGAACUAGCAGAGUCACAAAGGGCACGAGUCCAUCUCACCACCUUGACUUGCUGACUGAUGCUCGUCUGCACUGCACAGAGGAAAUCAACUGACCGAGGAGUGUUUCUGAGUGAGGGAGAGAGGAGUCAUCAUCCAGGUAAAGUGACGUGGAUCAGUGGACACACUUGUCUCCGCUUUAAAGGAGCCACUCUUAGAGAGAGACGAUCCGAGUCAUCCUUAAAUAUGGGCAGGAUAUCAGUCUUGGACUGUCUAACCUGCCGGAGCAGCACUGAAUAACCACCACACAUGAGCAUGUUCCUGCAACAUUCAGCAUCUGAUCUGCCAUCUGUGUG
Oreochromis aureus is the source of this 1288-nucleotide long non-coding RNA. RefSeq lists it as uncharacterized. The transcript has 8 exons. The record is from RefSeq and is a predicted model, not a curated record. NCBI's taxonomy places the organism in Eukaryota, Metazoa, Chordata, Actinopteri, Cichliformes, Cichlidae.